This 242-nucleotide long non-coding RNA is filed under the name Bos taurus (domestic cattle). RNAcentral's name for it is "long non-coding RNA NONBTAT022621". The record is from RNAcentral. Lineage: Eukaryota; Metazoa; Chordata; Mammalia; Artiodactyla; Bovidae.
AAGAAGUAGGUUCAAGAUAGUCACGCAGUCUGAAAACUGUUGCCCUCUUGUCUGCUGCUAUCUGUUAUCUCCUGCUGUGAAGAACUUUUGUCAUCAGCCCUGAGCUCACACAACGACAACAACCAGGCACAAAAGUGUAGGGAGAUCAACCUAGAAGCAAAUCAGUUGCUUCAGGAAAUGGGAUUUUUUUUUUCCUCCUCAGUUUAGUACUCAGAUCUUAAAAGGAAGUAAAUUAGGAAACC